Molecule: ribosomal RNA, 707 nt
Filed under: bioreactor metagenome
Description: bacterial SSU rRNA
Rfam family: Bacterial small subunit ribosomal RNA
Source: RNAcentral
ACUUGGAGGUUGUGGCCUUGAGCCGUGGCUUUCGGAGCUAACGCGUUAAGUAGACCGCCUGGGGAGUACGGUCGCAAGAUUAAAACUCAAAUGAAUUGACGGGGGCCCGCACAAGCGGUGGAGCAUGUGGUUUAAUUCGAUGCAACGCGAAGAACCUUACCUACUCUUGACAUCCAGAGAACUUUCCAGAGAUGGAUUGGUGCCUUCGGGAACUCUGAGACAGGUGCUGCAUGGCUGUCGUCAGCUCGUGUUGUGAAAUGUUGGGUUAAGUCCCGCAACGAGCGCAACCCUUAUCCUUGUUUGCCAGCGAGUAAUGUCGGGAACUCCAGGGAGACUGCCGGUGAUAAACCGGAGGAAGGUGGGGACGACGUCAAGUCAUCAUGGCCCUUACGAGUAGGGCUACACACGUGCUACAAUGGCGCAUACAGAGGGCAGCCAACUUGCGAUAGUGAGCGAAUCCCAAAAAGUGCGUCGUAGUCCGGAUUGGAGUCUGCAACUCGACUCCAUGAAGUCGGAAUCGCUAGUAAUCGUGGAUCAGAAUGCCACGGUGAAUACGUUCCCGGGCCUUGUACACACCGCCCGUCACACCAUGGGAGUGGGCUGCAAAAGAAGUAGGUAGUUUAACCUUCGGGGAGGACGCUUACCACUUUGUGGUUCAUGACUGGGGUGAAGUCGUAACAAGGUAGCGCUAGGGGAACCUGGCGCUG